GCAAGAAUGGCCGAGUGGUCUAAGGCGCUGCGUUUAGGCCGCAGUUUUCAUGGGUUCGAAUCCCGUUUCUUGUA
Molecule: transfer RNA, 74 nt
Filed under: Lotharella vacuolata
Lineage: Eukaryota; Cercozoa; Chlorarachniophyceae
Description: tRNA-Leu
Rfam family: tRNA
About the family: Transfer RNA (tRNA) molecules are approximately 80 nucleotides in length. Their secondary structure includes four short double-helical elements and three loops (D, anti-codon, and T loops).
Source: RNAcentral